Molecule: ribosomal RNA, 494 nt
Filed under: uncultured bacterium
Lineage: Bacteria
Description: partial 16S ribosomal RNA
Rfam family: Bacterial small subunit ribosomal RNA
Source: RNAcentral
ACGAACGCUGGCGGCGUGCCUAAUACAUGCACGUAGAACGCUGAAGGAGGAGCUUGCUUCUCUGGAUGAGUUGCGAACGGGUGAGUAACGCGUAGGUAACCUGCCUGGUAGCGGGGGAUAACUAUUGGAAACGAUAGCUAAUACCGCAUAAGAGUAGAUGUUGCAUGACAUUUGCUUAAAAGGUGCAAUUGCAUCACUACCAGAUGGACCUGCGUUGUAUUAGCUAGUUGGUGAGGUAACGGCUCACCAAGGCAACGAUACAUAGCCGACCUGAGAGGGUGAUCGGCCACACUGGGACUGAGACACGGCCCAGACUCCUACGGGAGGCAGCAGUAGGGAAUCUUCGGCAAUGGACGGAAGUCUGACCGAGCAACGCCGCGUGAGUGAAGAAGGUUUUCGGAUCGUAAAGCUCUGUUGUAAGAGAAGAACGAGUGUGAGAGUGGAAAGUUCACACUGUGACGGUAUCUUACCAGAAAGGGACGGCUAACUACGUG